Alosa sapidissima (American shad) is the source of this 3556-nucleotide RNA transcript. RefSeq lists it as uncharacterized. NCBI's taxonomy places the organism in Eukaryota, Metazoa, Chordata, Actinopteri, Clupeiformes, Clupeidae. The transcript has 7 exons. The record is from RefSeq and is a predicted model, not a curated record.
CAUGUUGGAAAAGGCGGCUUUUAUAGGCAGGCCCACUCGCAGACGCCAGCACACCUGCACACAAUAAGGGGUAAUGACAGGUAGAGAGAAUGCAGGUAGAGGGUGAGACUAGAACAGCCAAGUACACUCUUAGAAAAAAGGGUGCUUGUGGGUGCUAUAUAGAACCAUAGGGGUUCUUUGCCAAGGAAAUAGAACCUUUUGCCUAAAAAGGGUGCUAUUUCUCGCACGUGCGGUUUAAUUUGAACUUCAACGAACCUUUCUGAAGCCUUCCAUUCUGCCCGGCUUUUUAACGGAGACAUGGUUGACAGUUGGACCAUCCAUGAGGUCUGUUUGUGGCUGGAGCAGAGUACCUUAAGUGAAGCAAAGCAAAUCUUCCAAGGUAACAGAUCUUGCCCUUGGCAAUAAUGGAACAUUUCUUCAGAUGUGGGUUUUGCCGUGUAGUUAAGUUCACUAUCCAAAAAUACCUGAGCCAUUUGCUAUUGACACACCAGCAUCAACCAAAUUUUUCUGCAUCAUGUGUGGUUGAACAGUGCAGGAAGAAAUACAAAAGUGUUGGAUCAUUAAGAAUUCACAUUUACAGAAACCAUCGUUGUUAUUUACAAAACAACCCUGUGCCUCGUGCAGAUAAUUUUGAACCUGAGUCUGAGUCUGAGUCUGAGUCUGAUGCCGAUGCAGUUCAAGAUGAGGAUUUAGAAGAAGAGCCUGUGAUUGGUGACAGUUUAGAUAUUCUUCUGUCUGGAUUGAAAAAACAUGUUGCUCUCUUCAUACUCAAUCUCCAGGAAAAACAUCUCCUUCCUAAAUCAACCCAAGAUACCAUUGUUACAGAUCUAAAAUGUAUUUUAAAUUUUUUCCAAGAACAUUACUCAGAUAUUGUGAAAUUCCAUCUGCAUCAAUCUGGCUUUGUUAUUGAGGAAAAUGAAGAAUUGGACAGUCUUCUGUUGGACACAACAGUAUUUGAUCGGACAUUUGAAUUUGUGCAGUCUGAAUACAUGUUACUGCAAUAUGCAUCAACCAAUCUUGGGAUGGUAUCUCCUGUACAGCAUGUGUUGGGAGUGAAUGAAAGGGGGUUGCCUGACACUUUUCAGUAUGUUCCCAUUGAGGCUCUGUUGAAAGUCAUUUUGGGGAAAGAUGACAUCUUUAAUAACAUUGCACAUGGUAGAAUCCAUGAAGAAGGCUUUAUAAGCUACUUCACCGACGGAGAGAUUUUUCAGAAAUUCCCUUUCAAUGGUGAUGAAAACAUAAUUAGGCUUCAUUUUUACACAGACGAAUAUGAAAUUGUAAACCCCCUUGGAUCCAAAAAGGCGAUUCACAAAAUCUGUGCAUUCUAUUUUUCUAUUGGAAACAUUGAGCCAAAGUACAGGACACAACUUCGACACAUUCAUCUGUCAAUACUUGUGAGAAAUCAGCUUCUGAAAAGAUAUACAUACACUGAUAUCUUGAAUCCACUGGUUACAGACCUUCAAAGGCUUUACAGAGAUGGUUUCACAGUCAGCCAUGAUGGGGAAUUUGUUCAUGUACGUGCAGUCCUAGCUACAGUGUCAGCAGAUAAUCUCUCAGCCCAUAAACUUGCAGGGUUUUCUUGUAGUUUUAGCCACGGGCGUGUGUGUCGUUUUUGCAUGAUUGACCAUUCAGACAUAGCCAAAAAACUAUCAGAAGAGGAAGUUACUAUCAGAUCACCUGAAGUCCAUAGUUACCACCUUGAGGCUCUUAGGGAAAAUCCUGGCAUUUCAAAACGAACAUAUGGUGUUGUCAGUGAUUGUCCUUUCCAUGCCCUGGAGUAUUUUGAUGUCACGUCAUGUUUUCCACCUGAUGUAAUGCAUGACAUUUUAGAAGGUGCUGUUCCUCAAGUGCUGUCACAACUUUUUUUAGCCUUACAUAAAAACAAAAUUAUCUCAUUGGAAAACAUCUGUAAUGAGAUUGAAGCAUUUCAAUUUGGGCAAAAUGAUAAAGGAAACAAACCACAAAAAAUAAACAUAACCUCAAUCAGAAGUGGGCGCUUGCCAGGUUCUGCAAGUGAAAGAUGGUGCCUUUUUCGCCUUUUGCCUUUCAUUAUUGGCCAUCACAUUCCAGUGGGAAAUCCACACUGGGAGCUCUAUCUUUUGUGCAGAGAUGUUGCAGAUAUAAUCCUUUCUCCAUCAAUCAAGCAGAGCAUUCUCCAUUACCUUGCCAUUCAGAUUGGACACUUCCUGUCUUUAUUCAGUUCUCUGUUUCCUGGAAAAGUCACCCCAAAAUUGCAUUAUCUAAUUCACUACCCAAGACUAAUUGAAAAAUGUGGACCCUUAAGACACCUAUGGUGUAUGAGAUUUGAAGGAAAGCACCAGUAUUUCAAGAGGCUGGCCCGAAAUGCUUUCAAUUUUAAAAACAUCUGUCUCACACUGGCCAAACGUCACCAACUUAGACAGUGCUGGGAGUUAACUUCAGUGGAUGUACUCAGGCAGGAUGAGUAUACUGAGAGGGGAUGUUCUUGUUCGGUGAGGUCUCUGUCACAAGAAAUUCGAUUGGGCCUUACACAGAGAUUUGGCGCAGAAAAUAUUGAAUUGGAGGAGGAUGUUUUGGUGGUCCAGAAGCUUUGCCUUGACAAUGUUUUGUAUUCCAUCAACAACAUUUUAGUGUUAGAUGUGAUUGAAGAGGACAUCCCUGUUUUCAUAAAAAUAAGGAAGGUACUCCGCUUCAGAGGCAGUUGGCUUUUGUUUUCGCAACUUUUUAUCCCCUCUCAGUACAAUUAUCACCUGCAUGCUUUUGAGGUGAAAGAUGAUGGAGGUCAAUGGAUUAUCAUCCAACCUGGUGAAGAGCAUGAUUAUCAUUCCCUUGAUCUCUAUCACCUUGAUGAUAAUACUGCCAUUAGCCUUCACCAUGCUGUAUAUAAAAGAUGAAGAAAUCAAUGGAGAAACACUGUUGGGCUUGACAGAUUUAUAUCAGAAUUGGAAAAAUUAAAAAAUGGCCAUCCUCCAACACGAAAUGACAAUCUUGCAGUACCCCCACCAACCCAAACUACUCCGACUCCAAUCCCCACAACAACAGCCUGGCCUGCUUUAUAUACCCUCCCAGUAUUCAGCCCAGAGGUCAGAGAGGCACUAGUUAAAAAAGACCCUGCGUUUUACAAGAAAGACAAGUCACAUCUUCGCACAGCUCUGAUUACCCUCAUUUUUGAUGACAUGACACGUUAUACAUGGUAUCCAAGCCAUAAAAUGUAUAGCGAUGUCCUGGGAGCACUUAUAACCCGGUAUCCAUUUCUCAGGGAUGGAAGCCUCUCUGGAUUUGAAACCCUUUUGGAGUGCCUAAAAAAUAAAUUCAAAAAAGAGCGGAGAACCCUUGUACACAUGGACAAAGUCCUAGAGAUGAAGCAGAAAUAUGGGCAAAAACAUCCAUCAACAACAACAGGGUUGACAAGACCAAGCCCCAAUAGGAAACGACAACUCUCAACCGAACCAGUGGAAGCGGAGGAUACUCAAAGUAUUGCUGAACACUUGAAAGCCAUCACUGAAGAGCUACACAAAAGCAGGCCAAAUUUUGAGAACAUCAAGUGGAGGAUGGAAAGGACUCUGCAUGCACGAAC